CACUGUCACCCAGGCUGGAGUGCAGUGGCAUGAUCUCGGCUCAUGGCAACCUCUGCCUCCUGGAUUCAAGUGAUUCUCCUGCCUCAGCCUCCCAAGUA
Molecule: long non-coding RNA, 98 nt
Organism: Sapajus apella (tufted capuchin)
Lineage: Eukaryota; Metazoa; Chordata; Mammalia; Primates; Cebidae
Exons: 3
Source: RefSeq, a predicted model, not a curated record